CUUGGGGUAAAUGGAAGUAAAUUGACAGCAAAUGGUACACACGUUAAGUUGUGAAGCGAAACUGACCUUGUGCCAAUCUCUCGACCUUCCCUUCUUAACAGAUGAAUGUCAUUUGCUGCGUCAGUGGUUUGAAGUCAAUAACCAUUGAUACUGUCCUUUGGGAACUCUUGUGCUUACAGAGGCAAUAUUUUAGAAUGAGGACACAGUCUGCUGAUGAGUAAUACUUAAAACAAAUCAUGGAAGAUUUGGAUAGCUCCUCAGUCUUUGGUAUUGAAGUCUCAGAGUGUCACCAACCUUUGGUAUCAAAUACAGUUGGACUGGACAAUUCAUUUUAUCUAAUUCCACAAGGCUGUGACCUUCUUAAAACAGAGGUUUUAUUUGACUGCUAUUUCAUCAGUGCCUGGCACAAGUUCUGUCGUGUAGCAGACAUUUCAUGUUCAAGAAAUGAAUGAAUAAGAAAAUACAGAAAUGAAUGAGUGAGUAAAUUUAGAGUAUAUCAUUUUAUGAAAUAUUUUGUUAAUGAGCACUCCUGAGAUGUUUCCUAAAUCCAGUUAGAAAACAUGAUGCUUCUCAAUCUAGUCGACAAUAAAUGAGUAAUAAAGGUAAA
This is a long non-coding RNA of Felis catus (domestic cat), 607 nucleotides long. RefSeq lists it as uncharacterized. NCBI's taxonomy places the organism in Eukaryota, Metazoa, Chordata, Mammalia, Carnivora, Felidae. The transcript is spliced from 3 exons. The record is from RefSeq and is a predicted model, not a curated record.